UAGACAACAACUGGAGAGGUCUGAUGACAGAGAUUUUUGUUGACUCAGACGCCGAAGGUGUACGGCAGAAUUUAAAUCUUUUAUGAAUUCUGUUAAUCUCUCAGGCAAAAGGACAGGAGGACGUUA
Molecule: non-coding RNA, 126 nt
Organism: Eubacterium sp. CAG:192
Lineage: Bacteria; Bacillati; Bacillota; Clostridia; Eubacteriales; Eubacteriaceae
Source: Rfam